Molecule: unclassified non-coding RNA, 799 nt
Filed under: Zea mays
Lineage: Eukaryota; Viridiplantae; Streptophyta; Magnoliopsida; Poales; Poaceae
Description: misc RNA Zm00001eb258300
Source: RNAcentral
GUACAGACAAGGACGCUGUGGAAAACCAAGGCAAGGCUGCUGGGUCUGGAACGGAAUGCCGUGUGACCCAGCAUCCUCCGUUCCUCUUCCUCCCCUUCACCCAGUCAAUUCCGAUCCCACCAAUUCACGCAGACGCGUCUGUCCAUUUACCAGGACAACAAAGGCCCAGCCAAGGCCAGCAGCAGCAGCAGCAGCGCAUCCGAAGAUGUCCUUGCAUGUGCAUGGGAAUGGGAUGAUGAACCAACCGGGUACGGCAAUGAAGAAGAAGCCGGCCGGCGACAAUUCGCCGCCAGCCGAGCCAGGCCGGCCGGCCGGCCGGCUACUAUCAGAAAAUGGGACGACUCGAGGAAGCAAAAGGCAAAACAGAGAAGAGAGGCCAAAAACAAGCACACAUGAUGCGAUUCUUGCUCCUGCCAGCGAUCAGUCAGAUUUUUUUUCUAGUUCAUCGUAUUCACGCAUUUACCAAUACCCAUCCAUGUGGCUUGCAGGCGAAAAUGGCUAGUUUUUGCACAUGAUAAGCACCGCCGGCGAUCGACUGAUGACUCACCUGUGAGUUCGCCGGAAACGGUCGACUGACGGCUCACUCCUCCCUUCCUCCCUGGCCUGGGUUGCUCGGUGCACCUUUUUUUUUUCUCUCUAGCUCCCAGCUACCUCUUCUGCCCGGCCGGCCCGUUGCACUCUUUCUGACGAGAAGCUGUUGGCGAUCACGAACGCCUGUAAAUAAGCUAGCUAGGGACAGUGGUGGGUGGAAUCGGGGUGGUGUUAGCUCUCUCUCUCUCUCUCUCUCUCUCUCUCUCUC